Molecule: long non-coding RNA, 1628 nt
Organism: Hyla sarda
Lineage: Eukaryota; Metazoa; Chordata; Amphibia; Anura; Hylidae
Exons: 4
Source: RefSeq, a predicted model, not a curated record
CUGGAAAUGAAAGAAGCGAUCUGAUUGGUUGCUAUGGUUAACUCAGCAUUUUUUCCUCUGGACACUAACAUUUAUUCAGCUAUCCUGAGGGGAGCAGUAGAAAGAGGAGUGAUCUCCAAUGCAAUGACAACUAAGCUGUUCCCUGCGACACCUAAGUGAACAUUUAACGGGUACUGACUUUACCGAGAGGCGUGGUCUGACGAAGCGGUCUUGUCCUGCGAAACAGCUGUCACACCUGUGAGUGCUUCCGGCAUCUCAGCCGCCUGCUGAGUAUGGCUGUGUUCACCCACCCUCUCUUUUACAUGGAAUAAAGAAAAUCUGCAUGGAUUUCCCGGCAGUGUACAAUAUGUGGAGUCCACUACCAAUAAAUUGAAAGAAAGAACUCGAAAACAUUUAUCGGACAUCCCACAUUUUUGUUCUCGCAAUAUCUCCAUGGUGUCACAACAUUGUGGACAGAAACAUGAAGGCAGCUAUUCCACCAUGUUUUUACAGGGUAUUGAGAAAGUAUCGGCAAUUAUAAACAGAAGAUCCUAGAUAGGGAAGUAUUUUGGAUCCUCGAAUUAGAUACCCACUUACCAAGAGGAUUAAACAGAAGAUUAGAUGUUACAUUGCACUAUUAAUGUACCUUUAUAUAUUUUUUUUGUUUAAUCUAUAAUUAUUUAUGCUAAAAUCCUCCUUUUUUGUUACAUAUUCAUUUAUAUCUUGAAAAAGUUUUUCUUCUUCAUUAUAGUAUUGAUACAGCUUUUCCAUGGUAUGCUGCACACUGUCGGUUUGCAAUGACUUUAUAUGUAUUUUUAUACAUUUUUUGAACAUAUGCUUUGUUUAUAUGUUAUGUUCAUUAUUUAUUAUUUUUUGUUUCAUUGUCGGCUCCCUUCAUUGUACAUGUAUCCACAUACCGUAGUUGUUCUAUUUAAGGAGGUCGCAUUUGUCCCCAUGUGUUUUUUUUCCGAUCGGGACGAGUGCACACAAUUUUUAAUGUUUGUAUAUUAUAUCCUUUUUUUGUAUGUAUUUUGGAAUUUUUCUUUUUAUGGAUAUGUGCUAUGGCUAUGGCUUAAUGUGGCUAUUGUUAUAUUUACAUCUUUCCAUUGUAUACCACGUUGUUACUACAGCUAUGUUACACUGGCCUUGAGGGGUGGACACCAUCCUUUGGACACGUGACCCUGACUAGUUCAGGUGCACCUGUUUGAUUGGUGGUGUACCGUCUACUUAAGCCCGCUGGAUUUAACAUUUUUUAGUAUGAGUAAGGCUAGGCUAUCUGGCUGAAAUGAGUCACUUUUACCCUGUUCCUGUUGGUACCUGAAUAAAAGUUUUCCUACUGCAUGAGGUCUGCGCUGGAUCUAUUUCUCUAUAUAGGGAUUGUGUACAAUUACAAUAAACAGAUGCAGGGGGGGGGGGGGGGGGGCAGGGGACACUGCAGGAGGCUGUCUGACAGGGCAGCAAGGGUACGGGGUAACACCUCCCUUACUGGGCCACCACAAUGGUUUCUCCUUGUGAGCUGACAUUGAUGUUUAGUCAUUAUCAAUUUGACAAGCAUUUCCUCAACUUCCCUUUUUUUCUGCCAUGGCCCAUCUCACAUAAUGGUGAAUGGUGGUUGGUUUAUGGACAGUUGCACUUUCUUUAACGGGGUA